CAUGUCUCCUCAAAGUUACGGAAGAAUUGUCGUCUCCGUAUUGAAAGUAGUAAUCGUCGGUUUAACCUUUCAUAUGAAUCCCUAAUGUCGCGAAUCUAUGAAAAUCGGCCGUGGUGUCUUGUUACACAAGCAGUCCUCCGGGCCGGCCGCACGGUACAGAGCCAGAAUCCCCAGCGUGCCUCGCAGCGACCGGUUAGCGCUGCUGGGAGUUGUAGUCCGGUGGCCUUUGAAGGCGAGUCCGAACUUAGAAAACUAAUUCCCACAAUGCACCGCAGUUCUAAAGCUGAGUCUUGUGCACGAUUGAGUGGUCAGGGAGAAGGAGCCCCCUGAGCAGCAGAAAUAAUCCUGAGUGUCUUCCUUCAGUGAUUCGAUCCCAGUAUCCAACCAUGGCUGUUUCCCAUCUCAAAGGCUCAAAAUUGGAUUCCUUUCCACAUGGCAUUGAAGUCCAACAUGGAGGCUGGUGGCAAUGAAGGGGAGCUGAGUAACGGUGACCUAUCCCACGUGAAUUUGGAAUCUGGAGAUUUAGAAAAGUGUAAACUUCUGGACAAGGUGUCUCUCUACCCCUAGCACAGAGUUCACCCUUUAAAGAUAUACUGCAUAUCUGUUUAUGUACUGCAUGUUUAUCUGUGCUUUAUACAUAACAAGAAUAAGACUUUCAGCCCCAAGGACCAAUUUUCCCUGUUGGGGGAACAUUCACCCCUGGUAAAAAUGCAUGUAUUAACAACAGCUACAAAAACUCAAGGCCACAUUUGAUUGAUUGCU
Myotis daubentonii (Daubenton's bat) is the source of this 762-nucleotide long non-coding RNA. RefSeq lists it as uncharacterized. The record is from RefSeq and is a predicted model, not a curated record. Lineage: Eukaryota; Metazoa; Chordata; Mammalia; Chiroptera; Vespertilionidae. The transcript has 3 exons.